UUCAUAAGAAGCAGUAUAAGUAUAUAUACUCUCUUUUUGUUUUGUUUUGUUUUCUCAUCUUUGUGUGUGUUCUUCUUCUUUACUUUAGACUUUAGUUCAUGCCUAUCUGGAUCUACGCUUCGCUGGCCUUUUCCUCUGAUUAACCUUCUUCCCCGGCUGUUUCUUCCCGAAGGCAGAGCAGCACCCAAACGCCGACAGUCUCGGCGACGGCG
RNAcentral lists this small RNA (212 nucleotides) under Arabidopsis thaliana (thale cress). RNAcentral describes it as "ATSL076430". The record is from RNAcentral. Lineage: Eukaryota; Viridiplantae; Streptophyta; Magnoliopsida; Brassicales; Brassicaceae.